This 492-nucleotide ribosomal RNA is filed under the name uncultured bacterium. RNAcentral describes it as "partial 16S ribosomal RNA". It matches the Rfam family "Bacterial small subunit ribosomal RNA", at positions 29 to 507 of the family's 1533-position model. The record is from RNAcentral.
AGUGAACGCUGGCGGUAGGCCUAACACAUGCAAGUCGAACGGCAGCACAGUAAGAGCUUGCUCUUACGGGUGGCGAGUGGCGGACGGGUGAGGAAUACAUCGGAAUCUACUUUUUCGUGGGGGAUAACGUAGGGAAACUUACGCUAAUACCGCAUACGACCUACGGGUGAAAGCAGGGGAUCUUCGGACCUUGCGCGAUUGAAUGAGCCGAUGUCGGAUUAGCUAGUUGGCGGGGUAAAGGCCCACCAAGGCGACGAUCCGUAGCUUGUCUGAGAGGAUGAUCAGCCACACUGGAACUGAGACACGGUCCAGACUCCUACGGGAGGCAGCAGUGGGGAAUAUUGGACAAUGGGCGCAAGCCUGAUCCAGCCAUACCGAGUGGGUGAAGAAGGCCUUCGGGUUGUAAAGCCCUUUUGUUGGGAAAGAAAAGCAGCAGGUUAAUACCCCGCUGUUCUGACGGUACCCAAAGAAUAAGCACCGGCUAACUUCGUG